RNAcentral lists this ribosomal RNA (253 nucleotides) under uncultured bacterium. RNAcentral's name for it is "partial 16S ribosomal RNA". It matches the Rfam family "Bacterial small subunit ribosomal RNA", at positions 524 to 776 of the family's 1533-position model. The record is from RNAcentral.
UACGGAGGGGGCGAGCGUUAUUCGGAAUUAUUGGGCGUAAAGGGCGCGUAGGCGGCUUGAUGUGUCAAAGGUGAAAUCCCUCGGCUCAACUGAGGAACUGCCUUUGAAACUGUCUGGCUUGAGGCCGGGAGAGGGUAGCGGAAUUCCCAGUGUAGCGGUGAAAUGCGUAGAUACUGGGAGGAACACCGGUGGCGAAGGCGGCUACCUGGACUGCACCUGACGCUGACACGCGAAAGCUAGGGGAGCGAACGGG